RNAcentral lists this ribosomal RNA (273 nucleotides) under uncultured Staphylococcus sp. RNAcentral describes it as "partial 16S ribosomal RNA". It matches the Rfam family "Bacterial small subunit ribosomal RNA", at positions 89 to 355 of the family's 1533-position model. The record is from RNAcentral. Lineage: Bacteria; Bacillati; Bacillota; Bacilli; Caryophanales; Staphylococcaceae.
ACGUUAGCGGCGGACGGGUGAGUAACACGUGGGUAACCUACCUAUAAGACUGGGAUAACUUCGGGAAACCGGAGCUAAUACCGGAUAAUAUUUCGAACCGCAUGGUUCGAUAGUGAAAGGUGGUUUUGCUAUCACUUAUAGAUGGACCCGCGCCGUAUUAGCUAGUUGGUAAGGUAACGGCUUACCAAGGCGACGAUACGUAGCCGACCUGAGAGGGUGAUCGGCCACACUGGAGCUGAGACACGGUCCAGACUCCUACGGGAGGCAGCAGCA